RNAcentral lists this ribosomal RNA (447 nucleotides) under uncultured bacterium. RNAcentral describes it as "bacterial SSU rRNA". It matches the Rfam family "Bacterial small subunit ribosomal RNA", at positions 355 to 825 of the family's 1533-position model. The record is from RNAcentral.
UGGGGAAUAUUGGACAAUGGGCGAAAGCCUGAUCCAGCAAUGCCGCGUGAGUGAUGAAGGCCUUAGGGUUGUAAAGCUCUUUUACCAGGGAUGAUAAUGACAGUACCUGGAGAAUAAGCUCCGGCUAACUCCGUGCCAGCAGCCGCGGUAAUACGGAGGGAGCUAGCGUUGUUCGGAAUUACUGGGCGUAAAGCGUACGUAGGCGGUGACUCAAGUCAGAGGUGAAAGCCUGGAGCUCAACUCCAGAACUGCCUUUGAAACUAGGUCGCUAGAAUCACGGAGAGGUGAGUGGAAUUCCGAGUGUAGAGGUGAAAUUCGUAGAUAUUCGGAAGAACACCAGUGGCGAAGGCGGCUCACUGGACGUGUAUUGACGCUGAGGUACGAAAGCGUGGGGAGCAAACAGGAUUAGAUACCCCUGUAGUCCCUGAGCGGGCUGGCAAGGCGCAU